UUCCAUGUUUGCCAAGAGUCCUCGAGACAUCGUGCCACCGAACGAAAAAUGACGCAUGCCGCGCACGCAUCGAUCUUGAUCUUGAUCGGACGGCUAUUGAUGUCGAUCGACCGAGCAACAUCGCAUGGUUGAUAGCUUUGAUAUCACACACAGAUAGGCAUACACACAGAUAGAGAGAUAGAGAGAGAGCAUCAUCGAUCGAUCAGCGGCAAUGCUGGCCCCGAUCGCAAGGACCAACCCAUGGUCCCUGGCACAAGCGCACCACGCCCAGGGCCCGGCCGCCGACGCGGGCGCCN
This 296-nucleotide long non-coding RNA is filed under the name Hordeum vulgare. RNAcentral describes it as "long non-coding RNA (HVUL_LNC017142)". The record is from RNAcentral. Lineage: Eukaryota; Viridiplantae; Streptophyta; Magnoliopsida; Poales; Poaceae.